AAUAUUGCACAAUGGGGGAAACCCUGAUGCAGCGACGCCGCGUGAGUGAAGAAGUAUUUCGGUAUGUAAAGCUCUAUCAGCAGGGAAGAAAAUGACGGUACCUGACUAAGAAGCUCCGGCUAACUACUUGCCAGCUGCCGCGGUCAUACGUAGGGGGCAAGCGUUAUCCGGAUUUACUGGGUGUAAAGGGAGCGUAGGUGGUUCGGCAAGUCAGAUGUGAAAGCCCGGGGCUCAACUCCGGGACUGCAUUUGAAACUGUAGAGCUAGAGUGCAGGAGAGGUAAGUGGAAUUCCUAGUGUAGCGGUGAAAUGCGUAGAUAUUAGGAGGAACACCAGUGGCGAAGGCGGCUUACUGGACUGUAACUGACACUGAGGCACGAAAGCGUGGGGAGCAAACAGG
This 399-nucleotide ribosomal RNA is filed under the name uncultured bacterium. Its description in RNAcentral is "partial 16S ribosomal RNA". It matches the Rfam family "Bacterial small subunit ribosomal RNA", at positions 360 to 776 of the family's 1533-position model. The record is from RNAcentral.